Long non-coding RNA from Gorilla gorilla gorilla (western lowland gorilla), 2509 nucleotides. RefSeq lists it as uncharacterized. The record is from RefSeq and is a predicted model, not a curated record. The transcript has 2 exons. Lineage: Eukaryota; Metazoa; Chordata; Mammalia; Primates; Hominidae.
GCCGGAAAUGACGAUCGGCGGGAGGGCGGGCUCGCCGGGUAGAAGUGACUUGAAGAAAGAGCGAGAAGUAUAGAAGGGCGCAGGCGCUAGUUCAGUGCUCGUGAGCAAACACCGUCUACAAGAUUCGAGUCAAACAACGUGAGAACUUGAAAUACGUCUCCAUUCUUUUUCCUUAGUACUCUCGUUCAUUCAGUUACGGUAAAGCACUUACUAUAUAUGUUUUUCAUUUUAUCUUGUUCGACUCCUCCUUUGUGCCAUCCUCUCCCUUUUGUCUCACACAUACGCACCACUCACACAUUUAUGAACUCCUUAAUGGCAAUGGUUAUGGCUUUGUCAUUUAUACUCUAGUGCCAGAAAAAUGAAUGGCAUUUAGUGAAUACUCAGCAUGACUGUUUACUGAUUAAAUAGAUUGUUGCAUUACUGAUGGAGGUAAAUAAAAGACCCACUCAAAAUGACACAACUGGUCAGAUACUGAUACAUGUUCAUUUAUUGCUCAUUGUGUGUAGAUAAGAAUAUAACUGGUAAGUUAUGGUACCUACUUGGCUCUAAAGAAUGUAUUAUUUCCUGCUCAUUUGGAUUCUGACUUCUAAGAGUAUUGUGUAUUACGACCAAUUGUGUAGGCUUCAAGGUCAAUUUAAUAUUAGAAGACAGGUUAAUGUAAUUGAUAUAAUUAACAAUAUUAAAAGAUUAAAGAAAAUCAUAUCAAAAGAUGUAUAAGAAGUUUUUGAUAGAAUUCAGCAUUCUUUCACUUAUAAGAAUUCUGAGACACUAGAAAUAGAAGGGACUUUUUUAACCUGAUAGAAUAUCUGAAACCCCACACCUAAUGGUGAAAUACAGAAAGCAUUCUGUAUUAGAUUAGGUACAAGACAGAUGAUUGCUACUGCCUCUUCAAUACAGCAUCGUACUAGAUGUUCAGGUAACUUAAAAAUGCAUAAAUCUUCCAAAGAAAGUUGUAAAUCUGUGAUUAGAAAUUGUUUUAGAGGUUAUAUACAAAGAAAAGAGGCAAGGUGUGGUGGCUCAUGCCUGUAAUUCCAGUUCCCAGUACUUUGGGAGGCUGAGAUGGGAGGAUCACUCCAGCCCAGGAGUUCAAGACCAGCCUGGGCAACAAAGUGAGACCCAGGCUCUACAAAAAAAUUAAAAAAUUAGCCGGGCAUGGUGGUACACUCCUGUGAUCCCAGCUACAUGGGACACUGAGGCAGGAGGAUCGCUUGAGCCCAGAAGUUCAUGGCUGCAAUAAGCCCUAUUUCUGCCACUGCACUGCAGCCUGGACGAUGAGGUAAGACCAUGUCUCAAAAGAAAAAAAUAAAAAUAAAAAUUAUUGGAAUUAAUGAGAGAAUUUAGAAAGGUUACUGAAGUUGUUUUUUUCUUUUUUUAAAAGAGAUGAAGUCUCACUAUGUUACCCAGGCUAGGUGCGAUGCCUAGGUUACUGGGUUUUGUUGUUGUUGUUGUUGUUUUAAGUGUAAUGAAGAAAUCACAUUUCUAUACAUUAGCAACAACAAAAAAUGUAAUUUUAAAAUAUGCCAUGUUAAAUAGCAUCAAGAAUUAUAAAGUACAUAGGAAUAAAAAAACAAAGUGUACUCCCCAGCAGAAAAAAAACUGGCACGCUGAAAUGUAGAAGUUGAGAGCAAUGUAAUGAAGGGAUCAGUUACAGAAGUGUGGCCAGGAUCAAAAGUAAACAAAAAGGAGAAAAUGGGGCACUAACCAUAGAUCUGAACGAGAAACUGAAAGGGAGCAGUUAUCUGAACCUGAUUUAUUUGAGAAAGGUACGGUUGCAGGAGAAGGCUCUGGGCGAGAGCUGGAAUAAUCAGUAGAAGAACACAACUGCUCCCAAUUAUCAUCAGCACAGCCAUGGGGAAGAAGUGGGGAAAUGAAUAUCUACUUUUAGAUCUCCCAUGCUUCCCAUUGGUCAAACCCAGCCAGAGCCCAGAAGACAAGGGAGCCCUUUAAUGGGGUCCAUAAAUGUCAGCCUUCUAGGACUUAAACCAUAGUACAAAAAGGAGAAAAGGGGAUCUCGUUAAAUAAAGGAAUACCCAACAUGAUGUUCAAUAUUAUUUAAUGCCUCUCAGCAAAAUGUAUCAUUCUCUAUUAAAGGCAUUAAAUAAUAUUAAAAUAAAUGGAAAAAUGGAUAUAUUGUGUUGGUGGGUUGGCAGGUUCAAUUUUGGGAAAAUAUCAGUGCUCUCCUGUUAUGGACUGAAUUGGGUUCCCCUCCUCCAAAUUCCUGUGUUAAAGUCCUAAUCCUCACUAUCUCAGAAUGUGACUGUAUUUGGAUAAGUAAGGUAAAAUUAGGUCAUAUGAGUGGGCCUUAAUCCAAUGCAACAGUUGUCUUCAUUGAGAAGAGGAGAUGAGGACACAGACAACACAAAGGAAUGACCAGAUGAGGACAGAGUGAGAAGGUGGCCAUCUGCAAGUCAUGGGGAGAGACCUCAGAGAAGAAAGGAAACUUACAGACCUUAAUCUUGGACUUCUAGCCUCUAGAACUGUGAGAAAAUAAAUUUCCAUUGUUUAAGCC